AUUGAACGCUGGCGGCAUGCUUUACACAUGCAAGUCGGACGGCAGCACAGAGAAGCUUGCUUCUUGGGUGGCGAGUGGCGAACGGGUGAGUAAUAUAUCGGAACGUACCGAGUAAUGGGGGAUAACUAAUCGAAAGAUUAGCUAAUACCGCAUAUUCUCUGAGGAGGAAAGCAGGGGACCUUCGGGCCUUGCGUUAUUCGAGCGGCCGAUAUCUGAUUAGCUAGUUGGUGGGGUAAAGGCCUACCAAGGCGACGAUCAGUAGCGGGUCUGAGAGGAUGAUCCGCCACACUGGGACUGAGACACGGCCCAGACUCCUACGGGAGGCAGCAGUGGGGAAUUUUGGACAAUGGGCGCAAGCCUGAUCCAGCCAUGCCGCGUGUCUGAAGAAGGCCUUCGGGUUGUAAAGGACUUUUGUCAGGGAAGAAAAGGCUGUUGCUAAUACCGACAGCUGAUGACGGUACCUGAAGAAUAAGCACCGGCUAACUACGUGCCAGCAGCCGCGGUAAUACGUAGGGUGCGAGCGUUAAUCGGAAUUACUGGGCGUAAAGCGAGCGCAGACGGUUACUUAAGCAGGAUGUGAAAUCCCCGGGCUCAACCUGGGAACUGCGUUCUGAACUGGGUGACUAGAGUGUGUCAGAGGGAGGUAGAAUUCCACGUGUAGCAGUGAAAUGCGUAGAGAUGUGGAGGAAUACCGAUGGCGAACGCAGCCUCCUGGGAUAACACUGACGUUCAUGCUCGAAAGCGUGGGUAGCAAACAGG
RNAcentral lists this ribosomal RNA (759 nucleotides) under Neisseria subflava. Its description in RNAcentral is "bacterial SSU rRNA". It matches the Rfam family "Bacterial small subunit ribosomal RNA", at positions 28 to 776 of the family's 1533-position model. Lineage: Bacteria; Pseudomonadati; Pseudomonadota; Betaproteobacteria; Neisseriales; Neisseriaceae. The record is from RNAcentral.